CAGCUAGUUGGUAGGGUAACGGCCUACCAAGGCGACGAUCAGUAUCCGGCCUGAGAGGGCGGACGGACACACUGGGACUGAGACACGGCCCAGACUCCUACGGGAGGCAGCAGUGGGGAAUUGUUCGCAAUGGGCGAAAGCCUGACGACGCAACGCCGCGUGGAGGACGAAGAUCUUCGGGUCGUAAACUCCUGUCGAGUGGGAAGAAUGGAUCGGGGAUGAAUAAGCUCCGGUAUUGACGGUACCACUAAAGGAAGCCCCGGCUAACUCCGUGCCAGCAGCCGCGGUAAUACGGGGGGGGCAAGCGUUGUUCGGAAUUACUGGGCGUAAAGGGCUCGUAGGCGGCCAACUAAGUCAGACGUGAAAUCCCCAGGCUCAACCUGGGAACUGCGUCUGAUACUGGAUGGCUUGAAUUCGGGAGAGGGAUGCAGAAUUCCAGGUGUAGCGGUGAAAUGCGUAGAUAUCUGGAGGAAUACCGGUGGCGAAGGCGGCAUCCUGGACCGACAUUGACGCUGAUGAGCGAAAGCUAGG
This 531-nucleotide ribosomal RNA is filed under the name uncultured Acidobacteriota bacterium. Its description in RNAcentral is "SSU rRNA". It matches the Rfam family "Bacterial small subunit ribosomal RNA", at positions 242 to 764 of the family's 1533-position model. Lineage: Bacteria; Pseudomonadati; Acidobacteriota. The record is from RNAcentral.